Molecule: ribosomal RNA, 497 nt
Filed under: uncultured bacterium
Lineage: Bacteria
Description: partial 16S ribosomal RNA
Rfam family: Bacterial small subunit ribosomal RNA
Source: RNAcentral
GACGAACGCUGGCGGCGUGCCUAAUACAUGCAAGUAGGGCGCUGAAGAGAGGAGCUUGCUCUUCUUGGAUGAGUUGCGAACGGGUGAGUAACGCGUAGGUAACCUGCCUUGUAGCGGGGGAUAACUAUUGGAAACGAUAGCUAAUACCGCAUAACAAUGGAUGACACAUGUCAUUUAUUUGAAAGGGGCAAUUGCUCCACUACAAGAUGGACCUGCGUUGUAUUAGCUAGUAGGUGAGGUAAUGGCUCACCUAGGCGACGAUACAUAGCCGACCUGAGAGGGUGAUCGGCCACACUGGGACUGAGACACGGCCCAGACUCCUACGGGAGGCAGCAGUAGGGAAUCUUCGGCAAUGGGGGCAACCCUGACCGAGCAACGCCGCGUGAGUGAAGAAGGUUUUCGGAUCGUAAAGCUCUGUUGUAAGUCAAGAACGGGUGUGAGAGUGGAAAGUUCACACUGUGACGGUAGCUUACCAGAAAGGGACGGCUAACUACGUG